UUUACUCAUCCUGCAUAAAAGACAGACACAUGGCAUGAGAGGAGUCUGCUUCAGCGCCGCCUCAGGCUCCUGCGUGUCCAUGAUUUUCAGGAAGUCGUAGAAGUCGAAAGCAGGAGGCCAGCUGGCGUCGCCCAGCAUCCCUAUGGAGAGAGACAAAGACGGAUGCAGAUCUAGAAUUAUGAUGUGAAAUAUAAUAAAGACAUGCUCCAUGUACCCAGCAGACAUCGUGCUGACAGUGUGCUGUCUGGAUCCACCAGGCUGAAAAUCCACCACUGCAGGUGGUCGACUUAUCCGAAGAUGUGUUUCAGUCCCAGCCUCGACUCUCUGCAGCCACCGUAGGACAGAAG
Long non-coding RNA from Cheilinus undulatus (humphead wrasse), 347 nucleotides. RefSeq lists it as uncharacterized. The record is from RefSeq and is a predicted model, not a curated record. The transcript has 4 exons. NCBI's taxonomy places the organism in Eukaryota, Metazoa, Chordata, Actinopteri, Labriformes, Labridae.